CCGAUCAGAGGUCUGAAAAAGUUAUACGUAAUAAAACUUUUGCUUGCAAAUUGAGCUGUUUAUGAACUACGUCAUUACAAGCUUUUAAAUAAAUAGAAUAGAACAUAUGAUUUUAAGAACAAUGUGCGCUACAUUGGUAACAUGGUAGCGGUAAACUAUGACAUUAUUAAUUUUCAGUUGGCUACAAAGGUUAAAUAACAUAAAGAAUUAAUCCCAUAAAUACAGCAAGAUAAGGAUACAUAACAUAGACAUAAAGCACAAAAUAAAGCCUGUAUGGGUAUUGCCAGGUGUAUGGGCAUCCUGGCACAUGCUGAAAUGAGCAAUUAUUUUACCACCUCUACAAUGGACACAUUAUUGAAGCUGUGACAGUUGAAUUUGCAUGAACAAGACACCAUCACAAUGUAUGAUUAUGAAAGUUUAUAUUCAUCCCUUAGCCUAGAGCUGACAUGUAUUUUCUUUUACAGGAUCCUUCUUAACAAUGCAGAUGAUGCAAAUAAUCUGGCACCACUACUCAGGAACUUGGCCCGUCUAAUAUGCCAUCAUUCAUACUUCAAAUUUAAAGGUAUUUUCUACAAACAAACCACAGGAGUGCCAAUCGGCUGCCCUAUGGCGGGCCCACUAGCUGAGAUUAUACUUAGGGAAGUCGAGAAAUCUCUCCUUAUUACACUG
RNAcentral lists this long non-coding RNA (669 nucleotides) under Androctonus crassicauda. The record is from RNAcentral. Lineage: Eukaryota; Metazoa; Arthropoda; Arachnida; Scorpiones; Buthidae.